This is a non-coding RNA of Prunus avium (sweet cherry), 912 nucleotides long. Lineage: Eukaryota; Viridiplantae; Streptophyta; Magnoliopsida; Rosales; Rosaceae. The record is from RefSeq and is a predicted model, not a curated record.
CUGGUAAUAAACAAGUUUUCUUGCUCAACUGCUACUUGGCUUUGGACCUUCUUCAUUUCCUGGAAGGAAAACUUGCCUCAUCAUGUUGGUUCUUGUGUGCACCUCUGCUGACCGAGUACCGAUUCUCGUCCUAAAAAAGGGAUUGAUAAAGAAGCAACCUACCCGUCCAGGGAGAGAUCGUUCACCAAGGGACAAAAGAAGAUGGGUAAAUUCAGCCUCAGCUUCUGCCAACUCCUGGUGCAGGCGAGCUCUGGAAGUAUUUGCAGCAUCAACCUUCUUCCUAUAAACCUCUAGGCAUUCCUGUUCUAGGUCCAGCAGUACCUUCUCCCUUUCAAAGUGAUCUUGUCCAACUUCAUUCCAAAUCAUCUGUCCAUUCACAUUGAAGAACAGAAAAACAAAAAAAAACAAAACAAAACAAAAGAAGUUCCAGAAUGAGAACGAUUCAAAGCCAUUAGUUAUCUGAUAAAACUAGAAGAAAAUCUUGCCUGCAGUUCUUGAAGCAGGUAUCCACAUGAAGUUUCGAGAAGAUUGGAGCUUCGCAUUCCUAUCGGUGUUUGAAAUGAACCCAUCUGAAUAUGGUUCCUUCAGAGAAACUCAGGCUGCUGAUAAGGUUAGUUCCUUGACAUGCAGCAAGCUAAGUUGAGGGGGCAGUGUUGAAAGAGUGGAAAGAGAAAGAGUGGGAAGUUCCUUGUUAAGCACCCAAUGACUCAGAGAGGGAGGCAGAGUGUGUAUGUGUUCUGGUGGACCUCUGGGUGUGAGUUUUGCUUGAAAGACAAGGGUGGCAAAGGUAGGUAAUGCCCAAGCUUUGGGUUCAAGGAUCAGCAGUUCUUUUAGAACCUUGAGCUUUUUGUGACUUUCCCUUUCCCUUUCCCUCUACCAUUAUUUGAAUUUAAACAUGGAAUUCUUUUAGUU